UUGCUCUUCAACGAGGAAUUCCUAGUAAGCGCAAGUCAUCAGCUUGCGUUGAUUACGUCCCUGCCCUUUGUACACACCGCCCGUCGCUACUACCGAUUGAAUGGCUUAGUGAGGUUUCCGGAUUGGCUUUGAGGAGCUGGCAACGGCACCUUGUCGCCGAGAAGUUACCCAAACUUGGUCAUUUAGAGGAAGUAAAAGUCGUAACAAGGUUUCCGUAGGUGAACCUGCGGAAGGAUCACUAAAGUAAACGCCCUCCGGGGCUCUCUUUAUUCACACACCCCUGUGCACUUUGGCCACCUGCCGCGCUUCACUGCGUUAGUAGGUGUGUCUUUAUAAUUAUACCCAUAUACACAAGUCAUUGAAUGUAAAAUCGUUAUAAACUAAUAUAACUUUCAACAACGGAUCUCUUGGUUCUCGCAUCGAUGAAGAACGCAGCGAAUUGCGAUAAGUAAUGUGAAUUGCAGAAUUCAGUGAAUCAUCGAAUCUUUGGACGCAUCUUGCGCUCUUUGGUAUUCCGAAGAGCAUGCCUGUUUGAGUGUCAUGAAACUCUCACCUCCAGCCUUCUUUAAUUAGAGGUGUUGGGGCGUGGACGUGAGUGCUGCUGGUGCCCUGGUUGCAUCGGCUCACUUGAAAUAUGUUAGCUGACUCCUCUAGAGGUGGUUCUACUCGACGUGAUGAGAUCUCCGUCGAGGACAGUGCAACUUGUUGUGCUGGCCGCCCCUAGCAGUUGACGUCGCUUCUAAUUAGCGCAGACUUCGAGUGCUGGCAACUUUUGACAACUUGGCCUCAAAUCAGGUAGGACUACCCACUGAACUUAAGCAUAUCAAUAAGCGGAGGA
RNAcentral lists this ribosomal RNA (838 nucleotides) under uncultured fungus. RNAcentral describes it as "eukaryotic LSU rRNA". The stretch from base 1 to 241 matches the Rfam family "Eukaryotic small subunit ribosomal RNA", at positions 1593 to 1831 of the family's 1831-position model. The record is from RNAcentral. Lineage: Eukaryota; Fungi.